GCCAGCGCCACUGUGGAGCUGUCGCCGGCUGCCAGCGCGCGUCCGACACUCUGCAGCACUGUGCUCUUUCUCAAAGCUCUAGCUCCGUUCAGUCCUUCGGGAGUGGUGACCCUAGACUCCUAUCACUAGGAGCGCCUUCUGGAGCAAAAGGAGGCUCUACUUGGAUCUGGAAGUCCUGUAGCUGAGGACAAUCCCCAUUUAGUCCUCAGCGAGUUUUUGAGCAGUUAUUUUUGGACAGCUUGUUCUGUUUUUUGGCAUGGGGAGGGGGAGUCUUUAGGACCGACGCAUUCCGUGUCCUGUUCAGUAGUCUGUGUCCCAGAUAGAAGAGCAAUGGCUGGGAUGAUAAAAAGCAUCGUCUCCCUAAUCACAAGUAACCUGCUUUGGACAGUAGCAGGCUGCCACCAGCCAGUCCUUCUGAGAGAAGACUAAAGUUUCCUCCUCGCUUGUGGUCAUCUUGCCUUCAGUUGAUUCUCAAGGUGUCUAUGGCUUCACCUCAUUGGCAUGCUGCCAGGACAACCAGGGAGUGGGUUGGAGCGAGUGGGUGCUGUUUCUGCAUCCCAGGAAUAUUGGGCCACAUCUGCGGCAUGUGGAUCAUUAUCCAUAUUCAAGGUGACCUGACUCACACCUGGGUGCUGUACAUGCUUCAGCAGCCUGCCUCUCCGGCACUUCAGAUAAGUUUUCCCUCCUCCUUCAUCAUGGAAAAGAGGAGUCCACGGCUCCCCUUAGUGAUUCCAAGCAAAGCCAGGGUGGGGGGGGGAUGCCCUGAGAGACACCAAAUUCUCAUCAGUUCCACUCUCUUCUCCUUAGUAGCCUCUUGGGUAGUUCAUUUUUACUGGCAAUAA
RNAcentral lists this long non-coding RNA (842 nucleotides) under Sus scrofa (pig). RNAcentral's name for it is "lncRNA (ENSSSCG00070000992.1)". Lineage: Eukaryota; Metazoa; Chordata; Mammalia; Artiodactyla; Suidae. The record is from RNAcentral.